AGCUUGCUCCACCGGAAAAAGAGGAGUGGCGAACGGGUGAGUAACACGUGGGUAACCUGCCCAUCAGAAGGGGAUAACACUUGGAAACAGGUGCUAAUACCGUAUAACAAUCGAAACCGCAUGGUUUUGAUUUGAAAGGCGCUUUCGGGUGUCGCUGAUGGAUGGACCCGCGGUGCAUUAGCUAGUUGGUGAGGUAACGGCUCACCAAGGCGACGAUGCAUAGCCGACCUGAGAGGGUGAUCGGCCACAUUGGGACUGAGACACGGCCCAAACUCCUACGGGAGGCAGCAGUAGGGAAUCUUCGGCAAUGGACGAAAGUCUGACCGAGCAACGCCGCGUGAGUGAAGAAGGUUUUCGGAUCGUAAAACUCUGUUGUUAGAGAAGAACAAGGAUGAGAGUAACUGUUCAUCCCUUGACGGUAUCUAACCAGAAAGCCACGGCUAACUACGUGCCAGCAGCCGCGGUAAUACGUAGGUGGCAAGCGUUGUCCGGAUUUAUUGGGCGUAAAGCGAGCGCAGGCGGUUUCUUAAGUCUGAUGUGAAAGCCCCCGGCUCAACCGGGGAGGGUCAUUGGAAACUGGGAGACUUGAGUGCAGAAGAGGAGAGUGGAAUUCCAUGUGUAGCGGUGAAAUGCGUAGAUAUAUGGAGGAACACCAGUGGCGAAGGCGGCUCUCUGGUCUGUAACUGACGCUGAGGCUCGAAAGCGUGGGGAGCAAACAGGAUUAGAUACCCUGGUAGUCCACGCCGUAAACGAUGAGUGCUAAGUGUUGGAGGGUUUCCGCCCUUCAGUGCUGCAGCUAACGCAUUAAGCACUCCGCCUGGGGAGUACGACCGCAAGGUUGAAACUCAAAGGAAUUGACGGGGGGCCCGCACAAGCGGUGGGAGCAUGUGGUUUAAUUCGAAGCAACGCGAAGAACCUUACCAGGUCUUGACAUCCUUUUGACCACUCUAGAGAUAGGAGCUUCCCCUUCGGGGGCAAAGUGACAGGUGGGUGCAUGGUUGUCGUCCAGCUCUUGUCGUG
This 1020-nucleotide ribosomal RNA is filed under the name Enterococcus sp. 306B4_12EGalle. Its description in RNAcentral is "bacterial SSU rRNA". It matches the Rfam family "Bacterial small subunit ribosomal RNA", at positions 77 to 1069 of the family's 1533-position model. The record is from RNAcentral. Lineage: Bacteria; Bacillati; Bacillota; Bacilli; Lactobacillales; Enterococcaceae.